This 198-nucleotide ribosomal RNA is filed under the name uncultured bacterium. RNAcentral's name for it is "partial 16S ribosomal RNA". It matches the Rfam family "Bacterial small subunit ribosomal RNA", at positions 326 to 539 of the family's 1533-position model. The record is from RNAcentral.
ACGCUCGACACCUACGGGAAGCAGCAGUGGGGAAUAUUGCACAAUGGGGGAAACCCUGAUGCAGCGACGCCGCGUGGAGGAAGAAGGUCUUCGGAUUGUAAACUCCUGUUGUUGGGGAAAAAGAGGAUGGUACCCAACAAGGAAGUGACGGCUAACUACGUGUCAGCAGCCGCGGUAAUCUGAGCGGGCUGGCAAGGC